UAUUUCUUGUAAUUUGGAAAAAUGGGAAAGUUUACAGACAUAAUGGUUUUAUUAUUUACAAUUCUACUUUUUGUUAUAUUGGGUUAAAAAUAUCUACAAACAUUACAGAAUAAUUGAAAUACUAAUGUCCCACAAGGUGACAUACUUUCUCCUAUUCCGUAGACCAAUUGAUUGCAUGCAAUACACUAGUGGCAAAGUAUGUAGAAAACAAGGUAAUAGUAAUAACUAGCAUGGACUUAUAGCUUUCACCAACACACAAAAUCUUUUAUUAAUGGAAAACUGGUAUAAAUCAAUCAACAAAAUUGGCCCAUAAGAUGUUUCCCAUAAACCUAGCACAAUAUCCUAACUUACUAUAGUACACUAAUUCCAACCCUUACUGUUUAACAUCUCAGUUUAAUUCUUGACUGUAGUCUCAACAUAUCAAAGGCAAACUACCGUAAGUCUUACCUACAACUGUUUAAAUCACUAAUAGCAAACAAAUAGAUUUGGACAUUAUUUUUUUUUUCACCAUAGUCAUAUCACAUUGAUAGUGAAUUUUGUUUCUUAAUUUAAAAAAAAUAUACAUAUUUUUUAUUA
This is a non-coding RNA of Cinara cedri, 576 nucleotides long. Lineage: Eukaryota; Metazoa; Arthropoda; Insecta; Hemiptera; Aphididae. The record is from the annotation of a GenBank genome assembly.